UACGUAGGUGGCAAGCGUUGUCCGGAUUUACUGGGCGUAAAGCGUAUGCAGGCGGGAUCUUAAGUAGGAAGUGAAAGGUUGGAGCUCAACUCUAACACUGCUCCCUAUACUGGGGUUCUUGAGUGCCGGAGAGGAAGACGGAACGACACGUGUAGCGGUGAAAUGCGUUGAGAUGUGUCGGAACACCAAUGGCGAAAGCAGUCUUCUGGACGGAUACUGACGCUGAGAUACGAAAGCCAAGGUAGCAAACAGG
This 253-nucleotide ribosomal RNA is filed under the name uncultured bacterium. RNAcentral's name for it is "partial 16S ribosomal RNA". It matches the Rfam family "Bacterial small subunit ribosomal RNA", at positions 524 to 776 of the family's 1533-position model. The record is from RNAcentral.